UGCAGUCGAGCGGACCUUUCGGGGUCAGCGGCGGACGGGUGAGUAACGCGUGGGAACGUGCCUUCCGGUUCGGAAUAACCCUGGGAAACUAGGGCUAAUACCGGAUACGCCCUUAUGGGGAAAGGUUUACUGCCGGAAGAUCGGCCCGCGUCUGAUUAGCUAGUUGGUGGGGUAACGGCCUACCAAGGCGACGAUCAGUAGCUGGUCUGAGAGGAUGAUCAGCCACACUGGGACUGAGACACGGCCCAGACUCCUACGGGAGGCAGCAGUGGGGAAUAUUGGACAAUGGGCGCAAGCCUGAUCCAGCCAUGCCGCGUGAGUGAUGAAGGCCUUAGGGUUGUAAAGCUCUUUUAUCCGGGACGAUAAUGACGGUACCGGAGGAAUAAGCCCCGGCUAACUUCGUGCCAGCAGCCGCGGUAAUACGAAGGGGGCUAGCGUUGCUCGGAAUCACUGGGCGUAAAGGGCGCGUAGGCGGCGUUUUAAGUCKGGGGUGAAAGCCUGUGGCUCAACCACA
This 514-nucleotide ribosomal RNA is filed under the name Methylobacterium phyllosphaerae. Its description in RNAcentral is "bacterial SSU rRNA". Lineage: Bacteria; Pseudomonadati; Pseudomonadota; Alphaproteobacteria; Hyphomicrobiales; Methylobacteriaceae. The record is from RNAcentral.